UAGGGAAUCUUCGGCAAUGGACGGAAGUCUGACCGAGCAACGCCGCGUGAGUGAAGAAGGUUUUCGGAUCGUAAAGCUCUGUUGUAAGAGAAGAACGAGUGUGAGAGUGGAAAGUUCACACUGUGACGGUAUCUUACCAGAAAGGGACGGCUAACUACGUGCCAGCAGCCGCGGUAAUACGUAGGUCCCGAGCGUUGUCCGGAUUUAUUGGGCGUAAAGCGAGCGCAGGCGGUUAGAUAAGUCUGAAGUUAAAGGCUGUGGCUUAACCAUAGUAGGCUUUGGAAACUGUUUAACUUGAGUGCAAGAGGGGAGAGUGGAAUUCCAUGUGUAGCGGUGAAAUGCGUAGAUAUAUGGAGGAACACCGGUGGCGAAAGCGGCUCUCUGGCUUGUAACUGACGCUGAAGCUCGAAAGCGUGGGGAGCAAACAGGAUUAGAUACCCUGGUAGUCCACGCUGUAAACGAUGAGUGCUAGGUGUUAGACCCUUUCCGGGGUUUAGUGCCGUAGCUAACGCAUUAAGCACUCCGCCUGGGGAGUACGACCGCAAGGUUG
Molecule: ribosomal RNA, 550 nt
Filed under: uncultured bacterium
Lineage: Bacteria
Description: bacterial SSU rRNA
Rfam family: Bacterial small subunit ribosomal RNA
Source: RNAcentral